RNAcentral lists this long non-coding RNA (797 nucleotides) under Zea mays. RNAcentral's name for it is "long non-coding RNA (ZMAY_LNC003223)". Lineage: Eukaryota; Viridiplantae; Streptophyta; Magnoliopsida; Poales; Poaceae. The record is from RNAcentral.
UUUAGGUUACACAAACCUUAAUCUCUAGUGCCCUCACUUUCACCGCCGUAAUUUUUCGUGAAUGCUUCCGCAAAAAACAUAGCUCGAGCCUUCGCCAUUAGCAGCAAGCCUGCAACUAUGACUGCUUCUCAUCCCCACGAGUUUGAGAAAUCUUUGAUCGAGGCCAAAGAUUUGUGGAUCCUAACGAUGAUGAAGCUUCUACCUAAAUAUAUCAUCCAAUACAAGUUACUACGCGAGAAAGAUUCUUUCCAGGCAUCUGAUGUGGACCAAGUGGUUGUAUUCUAUCAAUUUGUUCUGCAAAGGUUAGGGAUUCCAACCUCCACCAUCUCCAAUGAUCUUUUGCAUUUAUAUUAUAUUGAACUAAUACACUUAAGCCCUAAUUCAAUCCUCCACAUAGCUAUCUUUGUGCAUUUGUGUGAGGCCUACUUAGGCAUUCUAGACAUACAUGCACAUGCACACACACACAUAUUAUAUUCUUGUUAUCUAAUAUCCAGUCUAGUAGCUAAAAGGUUUGACAAAAUGAUUCUAAUUCAUUGUCUGAAAUGUUUCUCGAUAGAAUCUAGAUAAAAAACGUUUCUACAAGAAUAUAGAUCCCCACCAAACACACCCUAUAUUUCAAUCUGCACAUUGAUGAAUAAUAGGGAGAGUAUCACUAGUUCAACCAUUUAAGAACUAAUUAAAUAAAUAAGUGACUAGAGAAAAUAAUGUUAUUUCAAUAGUUCAAAGGGUGGUUAGAUAGUGUUUUGAGCUAUAAUGGUGGCAUAACUAUACUAAGGCAUUACCUUGAGAGAUCCAAG